RNAcentral lists this ribosomal RNA (266 nucleotides) under uncultured archaeon. Its description in RNAcentral is "partial 16S ribosomal RNA". It matches the Rfam family "Archaeal small subunit ribosomal RNA", at positions 717 to 982 of the family's 1478-position model. The record is from RNAcentral.
ACACGACUACAUUAGAUACCCCUGUAGUCCUAGCCGUAAACGAUACUCGCUAGGUGUCGGCCACGGUGCGACCGUUGUCGGUGCCGUAGGGAAGCCGUGAAGCGAGCCACCUGGGAAGUACGGCCGCAAGGCUGAAACUUAAAGGAAUUGGCGGGGGAGGCACCACAACGGGUGGAGCUUGCGGUUUAAUUGGAUUCAACGCCGGAAAUCUUACCGGGACCGACAGCAACAUGAAGGCCAGGCUGAAGACUUUGCCGGAUUAGCUG